GCCAUCAGGUAAUGCUGGGGACGUCUAAAGGAACUGCCUACGCAAGUAGUGAGGAAGGCGGGGAGUGACGUCAAAUCAGCACGGCCCUUACGUCCAGGGCUACACACGUGCUACAAUGGCCGAUACAGAGGGCAGCUACCUGGUGACAGGAUGCAAAUCUCCAAAGUCGGUCUCAGUUCGGAUCGGAGUCUGCAACCCGACUCCGUGAAGUUGGAUUCGCUAGUAAUCGCGCAUCAGCCAUGGCGCGGUGAAUACGUUCCCGGGCCUU
Molecule: ribosomal RNA, 268 nt
Filed under: uncultured Sphingobacteriales bacterium
Lineage: Bacteria; Pseudomonadati; Bacteroidota; Sphingobacteriia; Sphingobacteriales
Description: partial 16S ribosomal RNA
Rfam family: Bacterial small subunit ribosomal RNA
Source: RNAcentral